This 421-nucleotide ribosomal RNA is filed under the name uncultured bacterium. Its description in RNAcentral is "bacterial SSU rRNA". It matches the Rfam family "Bacterial small subunit ribosomal RNA", at positions 355 to 774 of the family's 1533-position model. The record is from RNAcentral.
UAAGGAAUAUUGGUCAAUGGACGCAAGUCUGAACCAGCCAUGCCGCGUGAAGGAUGAAGGUCCUCUGGAUUGUAAACUUCUUUUAUCUGGGACGAAAACGGGAUUUUUAUCUCAAUUGACGGUACCAGAGGAAUAAGCACCGGCUAACUCCGUGCCAGCAGCCGCGGUAAUACGGAGGGUGCGAGCGUUAUCCGGAUUUACUGGGUUUAAAGGGUGCGUAGGUGGGCUUAUAAGUCAGUGGUGAAAUCUCCGAGCUCAACUUGGAAACUGCCGUUGAUACUAUAGGUCUUGAAUUAUCUGGAGGUAAGCGGAAUAUGUCUUGUAGCGGUGAAAUGCUUAGAUAUGACAUAGAACACCAAUUGCGAAGGCAGCUUACUACAUAUAAAUUGACGCUGAGGCACGAAAGCGUGGGGAUCAAACA